UUCGGCUUUCUAAAAUACAUAAGUUUUCAGGGUAAAUACAGCAUCAGUUUUUGGGUUCUAUAUUUUUCCAUAAGUGCACGUUUACCAUAUUCUUUUUAAUCUAAAGAUUUCAGGCCUAAGCUCCAAACUGCAAACAGUACACAAAUAUAAUGGUCACAGUUUUAAUUUAUGAAACAGUAUUUCAUUUUCUCCAAAAUAAACUAGAAAUCAGCUACCAUUUUCUUAACUUGGGGAGCUACCGCCCUCUAGAGGGUGGGUCUAGAAAUGUCAGGGUUCUCCACUGUCACAGUGAGGAAUGGGGCAGGGGUGCUGCUAGUGGCAUUUGGUAUUUGGGGAUGAAGGAUACACAUAUAGAACCACUUUCCCCAAGAUGCCAAUAGUAUUCACUUUGAAACAUAAUCAAAGUGAGACCUACGG
This 417-nucleotide long non-coding RNA is filed under the name Bos taurus (domestic cattle). RNAcentral's name for it is "long non-coding RNA NONBTAT022446". Lineage: Eukaryota; Metazoa; Chordata; Mammalia; Artiodactyla; Bovidae. The record is from RNAcentral.